CUGUUCCAAGUACUACCUAGUAAGUCUAAGAUAUUUGCAUCAUAAGAUUUCAAUCUUCCCUUAAUUCAUCUUUUAGUAAGGAUUUUCAUAAUCCAAUUGUGUGUCAGAUCUUCGAUCAACCACCAAACUAACGGCAAAAAAGAUGAGGAUGCUUCUCUCGCAAGUGUUUCGAUUAUUAUGCCUCAUCCUCCUCUUAUCUCAAGUCGCUGGCAGUAUGGGCCGAGAGGCAGAUAAGCCAAGGCCACAAUCACCGGUUCUUAUAAGAGGGCAGCCUUCACCACGUCCUUGAAAACCAUAGUGACGCAUGAGCUUUCGACAUAGGGAGGAAAAGGAUCAUUUUGCUGGUUGUAGUGAAUUAAGAUUAAGUUUUAAUUUACAUAAUCACAUUAACAUCCAGAAAAUAUGAAUUAAAAGAAAAGGUGGGGGAGAGCAGGAAUAAUUGUUAUAGGUUUUUUCCUUUUAAAAUAUUUCUUUUCGCUUUUCUAUGAGAGAUUUUUGUAUUGUAACAAAAUAAUCAUAAUUUUUUUCUCUCGUCUAAGAUAAAUGAUACGAGUCUUAGAUAUUGCUUUAAUUUGUAAAGGUAAAAAGUAGAAAUAAAUUUAUUUUGUGGUUAUG
Molecule: long non-coding RNA, 615 nt
Organism: Papaver somniferum (opium poppy)
Lineage: Eukaryota; Viridiplantae; Streptophyta; Magnoliopsida; Ranunculales; Papaveraceae
Exons: 2
Source: RefSeq, a predicted model, not a curated record